Long non-coding RNA from Macaca mulatta (Rhesus monkey), 1660 nucleotides. Lineage: Eukaryota; Metazoa; Chordata; Mammalia; Primates; Cercopithecidae. The record is from Ensembl.
CCGGUUCAAGAGAGUCUUCUGCCUCAGCCUCCCGAGUAGCUGGGAUUACAGGCGCCCGCCACCACGCCCUGCUAAUUUUUUUUUUUUUUUUUUGAACAGGAGUUCACCAAUUUGGACAGGCUUGUCUCGAACUCCUGACCUCAAGUGAUCUACCCGCCUCGGCCUCCCAAAGGGUUGGGCGGGCCUGAGUCACCGGCCCGGCCUGGGGCUUCUCAUUUUUUAAACCAUAUCCAACACGCCUCCCUCCGCACAAUCCUCUGGAUCUCCAGCGACCCAGCUGGGCUUCAGACAAAAAACAGGCAGCAGGUGAAGGUAUUUGCGCCUAAUGUUGAGCAGAUGCUCAUCGUUACUCACUUGAAAGAGAGCCCAACAGAAAGAGGAGCAAUGUGCUGGCGGAAGGUGCCAGGAGAGCCCGGAGGGACGUCCGAGACUUGGCAGACCUGAACUUGAGCGAGCUUGAUGCUGUCAUUCUACCUGGUGAGUUAGCUGAAAACUGUGAGGCCAACUGUUCGUUUUAAUUAAGGCUCACGACUCUAAAACCUUCUUUCCCAAGAAGUGGUGCAGGCUCAGCUGCCAUUUUGAAAUCUUCUGUGCCUGGCUCCAGGUCUGUGGUUCUCAAACUGCUGUACGUGAGAAUUACCUAGAGCUUUUAAAAACUCCAGUUGCAUGGGUCAUACCUGAGACCAGCGACAUGAGACUCUCUGGGGGUGGAAACCAGUAUUAGUGUUUAUGCUCCCCAAGUGAUUUCCCAGUCGAGGGUGCCCUAUCGAGGGUGACCAGUGGGUCUCAAAGUUGGCUGCACAUUGGAAUCACCUGGUAGGCUUCAAAACCAUCAAUCCCUGUGUCCCACAUCCAGAGAUGGUGAUUUCGUUGGUCUAGGGUAUGGCCUGGAUUUCAGAAUUUUAAAAAGAUUCCCAGAUGAUUCUCAUGUGCAGAUAAGUUUGGGAACUACUGCUCUAUGCCAGUACUUCUUCAACUUCAGUGGAUGCGUGACUCACCUGGAGAUCUUGUUACAAUGCAGAUUCUGAUUCGGCUUCCAGGCAACAGGUGGGGUGUUGCAGGCAGAUCACCCUUUGAGGCCUUCAGACUUUGAAAAUCACUAGAGGUUUUGCCUGUUUCUGGAGCUUUUCAGGGCAGAAAUCAGUUUUAGAUUGGUAACACUCCCUUUUCAAAUAAAAGAUUUAAAAUUAGACUUUUAUUUGACUUAUGCUCAGUAAAACCAUAAAUCAAUCUUUUAUUGAAAUAAAUUGAAAUAAAAGAUUGAUUUACUAGGCUGGGCAUGGUGGCUCACACCUGUAAUCCCAGCACUUUGGGAGGCUGAGGUGAGCAGAUCACUUGAGGUCAGGAGUCUGAGGUCAACCUGGCCAGCAUGGUGGAACCCCAUCUCUACUAAAAAUACAAAAAAUUAUCUGGGUGUGGUGGCAUGUGCUUGUGAUCCCAGCUACUCAGGAGGCUGAGGCAGGAGAAUCUCUUGAGCCCGGGAGGCAGAGGUUGCAAUGAGCCAAGAUUGUGCAACCGCACUCCAGCCUGGGCAACAGAUUGAGACUCCGCCUCACCAAAAAAAAAAAAAAAAAAAAAAGAUUUAUUUACUUAAAUAAAAGAUUCAUGUAUGAGUACAAUUUUCUCAGAUAUUUUUCUUUGACUUCUUUUUGUUUAAUUC